UUAGUAACGGCGAGCGAACAGGGAAAAGCCCAGCACCGAAUCGCACGGCCUUCCAGGACGUUGCGAAAUGUGGUGUUUGGGAGGGUCCGCUAUUCCGCGGUUUGGCGAUGCGUCCAAGUCCUUCUUGAACGGGGCCACUUACCCAUAGAGGGUGCCAGGCCCGUAGCGACCGUUGCCGAUUGCGGAAGGAUCUCUCCUUAGAGUCGGGUUGCUUGAGAGUGCAGCCCUAAGUUGGUGGUAAACUCCAUCUAAGGCUAAAUAUAACCACGAGACCGAUAGCGAACAAGUACCGUGAGGGAAAGUUGAAAAGAACUUUGAAGAGAGAGUUCAAUAGUACGUGAAACCGUUUAGGGGUAAACCUGAGAAACCCGAAAGUUCGAACGAGGAGAUUCAGUGUGUUUCGGAUGUUGCGGGUGCCGUUUGGUGACUGUUGUCGUUCGCGGCGAUUGCACUUUAGGUUCGCCGUUUAUAUUCGAACGCAUGCACUUCUCCUCCAGUAGGACGUCGCAACCCGUUGGGUGUCGGCCUGAGGCAUGCAAUUUWGUCUGUUCGGCGGUUUCGAUCGUCCGUUCAGGUUUGUGUUGUCCCGUCCGACUGCUUGACGGUAGAAUUAUGGCGCAGAGCCGCGACUUGCUCGCAUUCGGCCCAAUGCAAGCACAGAAGGUUACUCGAUCAUCGGACUUGUGCCGAUCUCGGGGCCUUUUGACUGUUAGUGUUGGUGUUCCCGGACAGACUCUGUACACGCCUGUUAGCGGCGCUAUAGCUUUGGGUACUUUCAGGGCCCGUCUUGAAACACGGACCAAGGAGUCUAGCAUGUGCGCGAGUCAUUGGGACUAUCGAAUCCUAAAGGCGAAAUGAAAGUAAAGGCAGAGCUUGCUCGGCCAAGGGAAGACGGGUGACGUGAGUCGCYUUGCACUCCCGGGGCGUCUCGUUCUCAUUGCGAGUUGAGGCGCACCUAGAGCGUACAUGCUGGGACCCGAAAGAUGGUGAACUAU
This 995-nucleotide ribosomal RNA is filed under the name Diglotta mersa. RNAcentral's name for it is "eukaryotic LSU rRNA". It matches the Rfam family "Eukaryotic large subunit ribosomal RNA", at positions 80 to 834 of the family's 3401-position model. The record is from RNAcentral. Lineage: Eukaryota; Metazoa; Arthropoda; Insecta; Coleoptera; Staphylinidae.